Lagopus leucura (white-tailed ptarmigan) is the source of this 5059-nucleotide long non-coding RNA. RefSeq lists it as uncharacterized. NCBI's taxonomy places the organism in Eukaryota, Metazoa, Chordata, Aves, Galliformes, Phasianidae. The record is from RefSeq and is a predicted model, not a curated record. The transcript has 3 exons.
AGAAAAAACAAGAAACAGCGUAUCUGAAAUUUAAUCUUCCUUAAAUUUGCAGAGCAGCCUACAGAGAAGAUUAACUACAUAAGCUGGACAUAUUUCAUUAUUCCUCUUAGGACAUGCAUAAUGACUUUCCCCCACUCAGUGUUUUCUGUUGCUGUUGAUUAUUGAGUUUCACUCCUCAGUAAAUUCAGUCUCAGCAAAGAACUGCUCACAGAAAUCAGGCACAGAGCAGUGGCACUCCUGGCUUGUCCCCUGGUCCGACUUCCAGCUCCAGCAGGAUGCCGGCCUGGUUUUCCCUUUUCCGGACACUUCCAUGGUCCUUUACAGCCCUGCUAACUCAUCCAGCCAAACAGGGAAUGGAGCAGCCCACCUUCCCCAGCCACCCUUCUGUAGGCACUACGUAACCUGAAAGUGGAAAAGAGCCAUGGGGAAGAGUACAAGACUGAUUCCCACAUACUCCCUUGAUGAGAAAGCCAAGAAGAAAAGAAGUACAAGAGGAAUGCUACUGCUGCACACCAUCUUACUUAUUAUGUAGAGCAGGAAUCUGUCUGUCACAGAGGAGGAAUUAACUUCUCCACAAAAGCAAACCCAGAAGAAAAGAGUGAAGAAAUGUAGUAGAUCUGCAGCUUGUGGAGUUUCCAUUUGGAAUAUACUUCUCAGAAGACAGACAAAACAGGAUUGAAAAAACCUACCAGCCAGUGAGGAAUAUUUAUCCAGACUCCCUCUCCAAAACUGCUUUAUUGAUCAACCUCUACAGAGGUCUUCCCCAUUGACUUCUACAUAGAUGCCAAAAAAAAAUUCUUACUCUUAAAAAGGACAUUUGAAAGAGACUAGGGAGUUUCCCACUGAGAAAGUUCCUGAAAGUUGAGUUUUAUCUCUAUCUAUUUCCACCAGUAAAGAAUAGAGUGCUAUUCUUAAAAGGGAACAGAUUUUUUGGUUUUGGCCAGAUAUAGAAAUCUUUGUUGCUAUAUUUGGCUUCCAAUGUAGGACUUUCUGCUUGCUGGUGGGAGGAGGAAAUUAGAGCUGGUGUUAUUCAUAACUAAAUGGGCAUGAAAAACAAACCACGUCUCUUUGAACUGUAGUGCUACUAUGGGCAUUCACAUUACAAAUCAUUUUUAAAGCCUGCAAUACCUCUGUGCACGCAACAGCCAACAUCAAAACUUUAUUACCCGCUCAUUUUCCCUCAGUGAUAAACCAUUGCAGAUGUACAGUUAUUGUCAAGGCAAAGACAUUGGUGUAGUUCGUGGUGGUGAUUGUGCUCUGUUUUGUUUUUAAAUAUAAUUUCUCGCUCAUCUUGAAAGAAAGCAAAAGUGAUGUUCUGAAAGACAGACAAUUACUGGAAGGCUGCAGGAUCCAGCCCCCCUCUUCUUCCCAACAACCCCAAAAAGAAAUCAGCUAAAUUAAUUGGCAUCCCAGCCCAACACACAGCUCAGCCAUGAGGAAUUCUCACCAGAUGUCUCAGUCCCCACCCGGCCUCCCACAUCACGCAGGCAGCAUAACCCUUCAGAGCCUGAGGUCCUGUCGGGGCGACUGGCCCCACCGUGCGGGGGGUUGAUGCAGAAGGCUGAUGUUAGCCCCAGCAGCUGGCCCCCACCCACACUUACCUCCCCCACUAGUGUGGCAGAUGCCAACCUCACUCCUCACAUAUUCCAUGGCAUUUCCCUCAUGCCAAGCAGGCUGAGCACUGCUGAGGUUAUCCGGCUCCCUCCUGGCACCAAGGGAAGCGUUUCCCCAUGGCAUCAGGCAGGACCCCAGCUGGCAGUCAGUAAAAUCCAAAAUAAGAGUUAUCUGGAUGGAAGUGAUGAGAUUUUUGAUGGAUGUCAGGUCAGUAAAUCCAACUGAAUGGCACAGAUUUACAUGAAUGGAGGCUGUGGUUCAGCUUGAAUAUAAUCAGUCACAAAACAAUUCCUUUUCUGGAGCAUCACUGCUUCCCCUCUUGUUUUCUGAUGCAGUGAGUACAUACAGAAAUAACACCUAUGAGCAUUUGGAAACCAAGGCAUGGGGCAAGGCAGCUGGAGCUCUACUCUGGUGAGAAUAGUAGAUGUUACUAAAGGAGAAAAAGCACAUCAGCUCACUCAUCCCCCAGUUUAACAGCACUGUUGUUGCCUAGAACACGUUUACUUCACUGAAGCUAUUUGUGGUUGUCCUAAAGCAAAAGGGCUCUCCCAGAUCUUUCCUCACAGACUAAACCACAGUGUACACAGUUCACUUCAAAGAAAGAAGUUUCCUGCAAUGUUUAUUCCAGCUUUUUCUUGACACUUAGUUUGUACCAAAUUUCUAAGUCCUCACACUGCUCUGGUAUUUUUUGAUGGCUGUCAUGUCCCUUUCUACUUCUUUCAUGUACAAGCCAAGCAGUUGUUAGGCAUCAUUUGCUUAUUUUGCAAUGGUCUUUAUCCCAUCCUCACCUCCAUCGUCCAUGCGACUGUUUAUCUCCCAGUAGUUUCCAACAACUUUCUCUCCUACAGAAAGUUCUGAAUGCAAAUUCCCCCUUCCCUGGUCUUCCUUUCCUUACAUUUCAAGUUCUUACUCAUGGCCCAAGAAAGAAAAGGGCGAUUCUGAGCAGAGGCAAAGCACUCUGCUUGCAAAACUCUCUGCUUACUGUCCUGGAAAUCAGUCCUGGAGCAAGACAUAUAGGGAAAUUCCUGCUCAUCUACUGGUGCUCUGAUACUGUAUAGCCCAUAUGGUCAGGAUCUUCACAGAAUUUUGCAACUAAACUCUUAACAGCUCCCUGCUGAUCGCGUGCAAGUGGCAAUUUUUCAAAAGCUCUGUGCUUGGCCAAAGUUUGGAGGUUUCCCCUCCCCUGCUGCUGGAACAGUAAAUGAUAUAUUUGUGACCAAAAUACCAAACGUUCAGCCCUCAAUCCAGAAUGCAGACAUGCGAACAUCACUCAAUUAAACAGCUGUAAAAUAAUUUUAGCAAGGGCAUAGUCACUUCCUUAAUGGGAAUUACUGAACUGUCAUAAAAAAGAAUCAAUUUGUGAUAAAAAACUUUUAUGGAAAACUUCUACUUGAUGAGCAUCAAAACUGCAACAAAAUUAUAAAACUAAAAAUCUGUUACAGCAAGAAGCCUCAGGUCUACCAGGUAUACCAUCUUACCAGAUCUGAUUUUAAAAUAGCCUCUCAUUUUAGAGCAAUUUAAAAGGAGAAAAAAAAAAAAAAAAAAAAAAAAAAAAAGACAUUGCAGCAAAUGCAACAGACCCUAUCUAAUGAGAAAGCUAGUGUCUUCAUGCAAGAGCCCUUUUAGAAAUCCCUUAGAUGCUCACCUUUUGCUCUAUCCUAUUUCAGGAGAGAAUCAGUAGUUUAGGACACUUGUUUUAAAAUGUUUUCAACAGGAGACAAAGUCUUGGCUGUAGAAAUUAAUCUCAUGAAAAAAAAAUAGAAACUCAGGAUGCUGUAAUUUACAAAGAGAUUUAUGAGUUCUUCAGUUGCAUAAGAAUAAAAAUAAUAAAAAAAAAGCAUUAGCUAAUUGUUGAGAAAUACAGACCAAGCUGAAAAUACUACAUUAAAAAUAUAACAAUAAACUUCACAUUAAAUUAUUUAUUCAGUAAUUAAAACAGUGACACUUUUCUUUAUACAAAGACUCCCACCAGUUUUGAUGAGAAGGAUGAAUGUUCAGUGGAGGUUUUGAGGGUAGCAGGAUUAAGAAUGAAGGGGGGAAGGAGAGGGACCCUGACUUGACUGAUGGUUUUAAAUGAUAACUACAAACAGCUAGCAGAGAAAGUGCAGCAUAGUUCUGCAGAUACUUUACUAGAUUACUGUAAACCUCAACUGCUAUGAACAUUGAUUGUAUAUAGGUGCCAAUUACCUGAGCCCAAGCUUGCUGGAAUCAAUGUGGAUUCCAGUACGUGUCCACCAAUGUUGGACCAGAUCCUGGGCAUCCACUCUUUUCCAGCCAACAAUGGACUGCAGUUUAGGCAUUCACAGCUGGUCCCAAUGAUCUUAAUGGCAUCAAAGUCUUCAACAGACUUUGAGGAAGAAAGGAGGAGCAGGGCUCCUGCCUGCAAAACACCACUGUCAGUGAUACACAGCUGAUCUAUCUUGAAGCCUUGUGCCUUUGUGUGGGUGCAUAACAACUGUGAUGUUUUAAUCACCUCCAUCCCUAAACUUAAGUUUAUUGGGAGCUAAAAACAUCUUGCAGUUCAGAGGGAACUCCAAACAAGCUAUCACAGGUCCCACCAUGGUGUCAUGGACACCACAGAAAAAGAACAGCCAGAGGAUUAUGGGCACUGUUCUGACCAAUGGCUGCUAAAACAAAUGUUUCCAGAGAUAUCUUUAAUUCCCUUUGGUAAUUAGUUCAUCCCAUAAGAGGGUACGAGUGUAAACUUGCAAGUACAGUCUAAUUUUAAUGUGUUGUGCAGCAUCUGUCCAACCAUCUACAUACGAUACUGGAGAAGAACAGUUCUGCUCACAGAACUACCAUCUCAACCUUUGUAAGACCUCUCCUGACCUUGCACAGGCAAGAGUCCUUUAGUCUUUAAAGGGUCCUUUUCUGCAUCAUAGCUGUCAGAUUGUGCCCAUAGGGCUAAUAUAUAAAAGCAGUAUUUAUUUUUAAAUACCAUCCUGCUUUACAUGAGAUUUCAGCUCCAAUAAACAUGCAUCAACUUUUUAAAAAAUUCACACAAAAACAAUAUUUAUCAUCCAAAUACCCCUUAAAAGCUCUAAGGCAGAUAUAUUAAAGACAGAAGUCAAGUUUAAAAUAUAUAUGUAUAUAUGUAAUUUUGAACUGUUUGAAAGAAACAGAAGUUGCUGGUCCAUUGAUAUGGAGAAAAAUAUUGUACCUGAAGUGAAUUAAAAUAACUGUAUUCAACAAGAUACAUUUGUCUACUGAAAGGCAACAUAUUGUAUCUCUUUGCAUAACUCCUUUGACACCAUGGUCAUCUCUACACACACAACAAAUCAGGGCUUUUGAAAGAUUAAGUUUUGGGGAAAGGGGUUGUCUUCUCUCUCUCUCUCUCUCUUUUUUUUUUUUUUUUUUCCUUUCCUUUCUUAAUUUUAUUUAUUUAUUUAUUUUUUAAGUGUGGAAAAAUUCCAUUCACUCCUGAGGUUACAGAGAAUGCAAUAAA